CCUACGGGGGGCAGCAGUGAGGAAUAUUGGUCAAUGGACGAGAGUCUGAACCAGCCAAGUAGCGUGAAGGAUGACUGCCCUAUGGGUUGUAAACUUCUUUUAUAUGGGAAUAAAACGUUCCACGUGUGGGAUUUUGUAUGUACCAUAUGAAUAAGGAUCGGCUAACUCCGUGCCAGCAGCCGCGGUAAUACGGAGGAUCCGAGCGUUAUCCGGAUUUAUUGGGUUUAAAGGGAGCGUAGGUGGAUUGUUAAGUCAGUUGUGAAAGUUUGCGGCUCAACCGUAAAAUUGCAGUUGAAACUGGCAGUCUUGAGUACAGUAGAGGUGGGCGGAAUUCGUGGUGUAGCGGUGAAAUGCUGAGAUAUCACGAAGAACUCCGAUUGCGAAGGCAGUUCACUGGACUGCAACUGACACUGAGGCUCGAAAGUGUGGGUAUCAAACAGGAUUAGAUACCCGAGUAGUC
RNAcentral lists this ribosomal RNA (460 nucleotides) under uncultured bacterium. RNAcentral describes it as "partial 16S ribosomal RNA". It matches the Rfam family "Bacterial small subunit ribosomal RNA", at positions 338 to 795 of the family's 1533-position model. The record is from RNAcentral.